AGGAUGAACGCUAGCGGUUUGCCUAACACAUGCAAGUUGCACGGCGCCAUACCUCUCGGGGUAUGGUGCAGUGGCGGACGGGUGAGUAACGCGUAAGGACCUGCCCCUGGGAGGGGGAUAACAGCUGGAAACGGCUGCUAAUACCCCAUAGCCUGAGGAGGGAAAGGAGAGAUCCGCCCAGGGAGGGCUUGCGUCUGAUUAGCUAGUUGGGAGGGGUAAUGGCCUCCCAAGGCAACGAUCAGUUGCUGGUCUGAGAGGAUGAUCAGCCACACUGGGACUGAGACACGGCCCAGACUCCUACGGGAGGCAGCAGUGAGGAAUCUUCCGCAAUGGGCGAAAGCCUGACGGGGCAAUGCCGCGUGGAGGAUGAAGGCCCAAUGGGUCGUAAACUUCUUUAGAUCAGAGACGAAGAGAUGACGGUACCUGAAGAACUAAGCAUCGGCUAAACCCCGCGCCAGCAGCCGCGGUAA
RNAcentral lists this ribosomal RNA (470 nucleotides) under uncultured bacterium. RNAcentral describes it as "SSU rRNA". It matches the Rfam family "Bacterial small subunit ribosomal RNA", at positions 26 to 523 of the family's 1533-position model. The record is from RNAcentral.